CCUACGGGUGGCAGCAGUGGGGAAUAUUGGGCAAUGGGCGCAAGCCUGACCCAGCAACGCCGCGUGAAGGAAGAAGGCCCUCGGGUUGUAAACUUCUUUUAGCAAGGACGAAACAAAUGACGGUAGUGGAUGAAUAAGCGACGGCUAACUACGUGCCAGCAGCCGCGGUAAUACGUAGGGGGCAAGCGUUAGCCGGAUUUACUGGGUGUAAAGGGCGUGUAGGCGGGACGGCAAGGCAGAUGUGAAAACCAGGGGCUCAACCCCGGGCCUGCAUUUUAAACGGUCGUUCUUGAGUGUUGGGGAGGCAGGCGGCAUUCCGUGUGUAGCGGUGCACUGCGUAGAUAUCCGGCG
This 351-nucleotide ribosomal RNA is filed under the name uncultured bacterium. RNAcentral's name for it is "partial 16S ribosomal RNA". It matches the Rfam family "Bacterial small subunit ribosomal RNA", at positions 338 to 703 of the family's 1533-position model. The record is from RNAcentral.